RNAcentral lists this long non-coding RNA (1167 nucleotides) under Pan troglodytes (chimpanzee). RNAcentral's name for it is "long non-coding RNA NONPTRT008454". The record is from RNAcentral. Lineage: Eukaryota; Metazoa; Chordata; Mammalia; Primates; Hominidae.
CAAGAACUGUACAGCAGCAGCAGCAGUUCAGCUGGCAGAGGUGCUGUUGCUGAGCUGGGAGUGGAAAGCACAUUUUCUCUUCAUGAUACAUGGUGUACCUGCACGUGGGAAGGUGAGAGGUGGCGACAGUGGGGGUGGGGACUCCACCAUGGGACCUUUUGAGCUGGGGUCUUCAUCCUUUCCAGCUCCUGGCCCAGAAGGAGUCUCACCAUGGCUUCAUGAUGGCGUCACCAUGGAACCCAAGAACACAGCUGCCACAGGACUGCUCCUACCCUCCCAAGAGCCACUCUUAAACAGCUGCCAAAUGGCAGCCAGCCACCUGGGGUGAAGAGGUGGGCAGUAAAUGGAUGUGGUCCUGGUGAAGUCUUCUAACAAGAUUUCUGACAGUCUUACUCUGUCACCCAGGCUGGAGUGCAGUGCUACAAUCUCGGCUCAUUGCAAACUCUGCCUCCCAGGUUCAAGCGAUUCUCAUGCCUCAGCCUCCUGAGAAGCUGGGAUUACAGGCAUGCGCCACCAUGCCCAGCUAAUGUUUUGCAUUUUUAGUAGAGACGGGGUUUCAUCAUGUUGGCCAGGCUGGUCUCAAACUGCUGACUUCAAGUGAUCUGCCCGACUUGGCCUCCCAAAGUGCUGAGAUUACGGAUGUGAGCCACUGCGCCUGGCCUGCAAGACUCUUUUUUUGUGUGUGUGUGUAUUUCAGUGCUGUAUACUGAAACAGGAAGGAUCUCCAUUAAUGCUGGUAGUACUAGAAGGUAACAUGCAAUGCCAUCUACCCUUCUAUUGACUCUUCAGUACUAUCAAGGAAGAAAAGGAAAAUAACCAGUAGCCUGGAAGAAGCUUUAAGCUCGUUAGAUAAAGUGUGCUGUCCGGAUUUUCCCCAGACCUUCUCUGUCCAUGAUAAACAGAGGGAGAGCUGGGAUAGGUUUUUGAACAAUUGCAUUGCAGCCAUGUUGAUGUGGGUGGUGUAAUGAAAGUUGGAAAAAUCAGAGUGAUUUGAAGAGUAUGUUUGUACUUUAUUUAGUUUUCUGCUUGGAGCUAGCAAACAUUCUCUGCCUAAUAGUACUGGUUAGUUUUGUCAAAGACCAAGAGCAGGGAAAUAUGUCACUGCAGUCUAUGAAUUAUCCAUGCAACUGGGAAGUGUGUUUCUUUACUUAACUUUCUCUAUUCAAA